RNAcentral lists this transfer RNA (72 nucleotides) under Loxodonta africana (African savanna elephant). It matches the Rfam family "tRNA". Rfam says of the family: Transfer RNA (tRNA) molecules are approximately 80 nucleotides in length. Their secondary structure includes four short double-helical elements and three loops (D, anti-codon, and T loops). Lineage: Eukaryota; Metazoa; Chordata; Mammalia; Proboscidea; Elephantidae. The record is from Rfam by way of RNAcentral.
GCCCCAGUGGCGCAGUGGUUAAGCUCUUGGCUGCUAACCAAAAGGUUGAAAGUUUGAGUCCUCCCAGAGGCA